UUUUCUCUAUUGUCUCUCAUAUAUAGUUUUCUUGCAUUUUUUUUACAUUGAGGACAAUGCAAUGUUUAAGUUGGGGGGAGGAAAAUAUUUUGAUUAAAAAAAAACAAAAAAAAACAUGUUUUUGCAUUUGAUUUAUUCUAUUACUUUCUUUUCUGAGCAAAUGCACAUGUAUUUUCAUAUUGAGUGUGUGCAACUAUUAAGGCAAGGAACACAUGCAUACUAUGACUGAUCAGAGACCUAUUAUUAGAUCCCCACA
RNAcentral lists this long non-coding RNA (256 nucleotides) under Phoenix dactylifera (date palm). RNAcentral describes it as "long non-coding RNA (PDAC_LNC018857)". The record is from RNAcentral. Lineage: Eukaryota; Viridiplantae; Streptophyta; Magnoliopsida; Arecales; Arecaceae.